GCGGCGGACGGGUGAGUAACGCGUGGGAAUCUACCUGGUAGUGGGGGACAACAGUCGGAAACGACUGCUAAUACCGCAUACGCCCUUCGGGGGAAAGUGGGGGAUCUUCGGACCUUACGCUAUCAGAUGAGCCCGCGUCGGAUUAGCUUGUUGGUGAGGUAAGAGCUCACCAAGGCGAUGAUCCGUAGCUGGUCUGAGAGGAUGACCAGCCACACUGGGACUGAGACACGGCCCAGACUCCUACGGGAGGCAGCAGUGGGGAAUAUUGGMCAAUGGGGGCAACCCUGAUCCAGCCAUGCCGCGUGUGUGAAGAAGGCCUUCGGGUUGUAAAGCACUUUCAGCAGUGAGGAAAGGCGUAAGGUUAAUACCCUUGUGCUGUGACGUUAACUGCAGAAGAAGGACCGGCUAACUCCGUGCCAGCAGCCGCGGUAAUACGGAGGGUCCGAGCGUUAAUCGGAAUUACUGGGCGUAAAGCGCGCGUAGGUGGUUCAGUCAGUCAGAUGUGAAAGCCCCGGGCUCAACCUGGGAACUGCACCUGAUACUGCUGAGCUAGAGUACGGUAGAGGGUAGUGGAAUUUCCGGUGUAGCGGUGAAAUGCGUAGAGAUCGGAAGGAACACCAGUGGCGAAGGCGACUACCUGGACCGAUACUGACACUGAGGUGCGAAAGCGUGGGUAGCAAACAGGAUUAGAUACCCUGGUAGUCCACCGCCGUAAACGAUGUCAACUAGCCGUUGGGGGACUUGAUCCUUUAGUGGCGAAGCUAACGCGAUAAGUUGACCGCCUGGGGAGUACGGCCGCAAGGUUAAAACUCAAAUGAAUUGACGGGGGCCCGCACAAGCGGUGGAGCAUGUGGUUUAAUUCGAAGCAACGCGAAGAACCUUACCUACUCUUGACAUCCAGAGAACUUUCCAGAGAUGGAUUGGUGCCUUCGGGAACUCUGAGACAGGUGCUGCAUGGCUGUCGUCAGCUCGUGUUGUGAAAUGUUGGGUUAAGUCCCGUAACGAGCGCAACCCCUAUCCUUAUUUGCCAGCGCGUAAUGGCGGGAACUCUAAGGAGACUGCCGGUGACAAACCGGAGGAAGGUGGGGAUGACGUCAAGUCAUCAUGGCCCUUACGAGUAGGGCUACACACGUGCUACAAUGGCCGGUACAGAGGGCUGCAAACCUGCGAAGGCAAGCUAAUCUCAGAAAACCGGUCGUAGUCCGGAUCGCAGUCUGCAACUCGACUGCGUGAAGUCGGAAUCGCUAGUAAUCGCGAAUCAGAAUGUCGCGGUGAAUACGUUCCCGGGCCUUGUACACACCGCCCGUCACACCAUGGGAGUGGGUUGCACCAGAAGUAGCUAGUCUAACCUUCGGGAGGACGGUUACCACGGUG
Molecule: ribosomal RNA, 1374 nt
Filed under: Marinobacterium halophilum
Lineage: Bacteria; Pseudomonadati; Pseudomonadota; Gammaproteobacteria; Oceanospirillales; Oceanospirillaceae
Description: 16S ribosomal RNA
Rfam family: Bacterial small subunit ribosomal RNA
Source: RNAcentral